Molecule: ribosomal RNA, 307 nt
Filed under: Haemaphysalis longicornis (longhorned tick)
Lineage: Eukaryota; Metazoa; Arthropoda; Arachnida; Ixodida; Ixodidae
Description: 12S ribosomal RNA
Source: RNAcentral
UUAACUAGGCAUUAGAUACCCUAUUAUUAAGAAAAAUUAUAUUGUUAGUAUAUAAAUUGUAUGAAAACAAAAAAUUAUGGCGGUAUUUUAAGCUUUUCAGAGGAAUUUGCUCUUUAAUGGAUAAAACACCUAAAUCUUACUAAAUUUAGUUAAGCAGUUUGUAUACCACUAUUUAAGUAAUAAUUUGCUAUUAUUACUAAAAUUUAUAUUAAUUAAAAAAAGUUAAGUCAAGGUGCAGCAUAAAUUUUAGUAUGAAGUGAAUUACAUUUCUUUUAAGAAAAAUUUGUUGAAAAUAAAAUUUAGGAUU